GAUGAACGCUGGCGGCGUGCCUAAUACAUGCCAGUCGAGCGAACGGACGAGAAGCUUGCUUUUCUGAUGUUAGCGGCGGACGGGUGAGUAACACGUGGAUAACCUACCUAUAAGACUGGGAUAACUUCGGGAAACCGGAGCUAAUACCGGAUAAUAUUUUGAACCGCAUGGUUCAAAAGUGAAAGACGGUCUUGCUGUCACUUAUAGAUGGAUCCGCGCUGCAUUAGCUAGUUGGUAAGGUAACGGCUUACCAAGGCAACGAUGCAUAGCCGACGUGAGAGGGGGAUCGGCCACACUGGAACGGAGACACGGUCCAUACUCCUACGAGAGGCAGCAGUAGGGAAUCUUCCGCAAUGGGCGAAAACCUUACGGAGCAACGCCGCGUGAGUGAUGAAGGUCUUCGGAUCGUAAAACUCUGUUAUUAGGGAAGAACAUAUGUGUAAGUAACUGUGCACAUCUUGACGGUACCUAAUCAGAAAGCCACGGCUAACUACGUG
This 497-nucleotide ribosomal RNA is filed under the name uncultured bacterium. RNAcentral describes it as "partial 16S ribosomal RNA". It matches the Rfam family "Bacterial small subunit ribosomal RNA", at positions 28 to 507 of the family's 1533-position model. The record is from RNAcentral.